This 253-nucleotide ribosomal RNA is filed under the name uncultured bacterium. RNAcentral's name for it is "partial 16S ribosomal RNA". It matches the Rfam family "Bacterial small subunit ribosomal RNA", at positions 524 to 776 of the family's 1533-position model. The record is from RNAcentral.
UACGGAAGGUGCGAGCGUUAAUCGGAAUUACUGGGCGUAAAGCGCGCGUAGGCGGCUUGGUAAGUCGGAUGUGAAAUCCCCGGGCUCAACCUGGGAACUGCAUACGAUACUGCCAAGCUGGAGUACGAGAGAGGGGGGUGGAAUUCCAGGUGUAGCGGUGAAAUGCGUAGAGAUCUGGAGGAACACCGGUGGCGAAGGCGGCCCCCUGGUUCGAUACUGACGCUGAGGUGCGAAAGCGUGGGGAGCAAACAGG